This 51-nucleotide signal recognition particle RNA is filed under the name Chaetoceros curvisetus. Its description in RNAcentral is "partial Bacterial small signal recognition particle RNA". The stretch from base 3 to 45 matches the Rfam family "Bacterial small signal recognition particle RNA", at positions 24 to 66 of the family's 97-position model. Rfam says of the family: The signal recognition particle (SRP) is a universally conserved ribonucleoprotein involved in the co-translational targeting of proteins to membranes. Archaeal SRP consists of a 7S RNA and homologues of the eukaryotic SRP19 and SRP54 proteins. Lineage: Eukaryota; Bacillariophyta; Thalassiosirophyceae; Chaetocerotales; Chaetocerotaceae. The record is from RNAcentral.
UCCUCGCCAACCGGGUCAGGUCGGGAACGAAGCAGCCCUAACGAGUUUUAC